AGUCGAACGGUAACAGAAGAGCUUGCUCUUGCUGACGAGUGGCGGACGGGUGAGUAACGUAUGGGGAUCUGCCGAAUGGAGGGGGACAACAGUUGGAAACGACUGCUAAUACCGCAUAACGUCGCGAGACCAAAGCAUGGGACCUUAGGGCCAUGCGCCAUUUGAUGAACCCAUAUGGGAUUAGCUAGUAGGUGAGGUAAUGGCUCACCUAGGCGACGAUCUCUAGCUGGUCUGAGAGGAUGACCAGCCACACUGGGACUGAGACACGGCCCAGACUCCUACGGGAGGCAGCAGUGGGGAAUAUUGCACAAUGGGGGAAACCCUGAUGCAGCCAUGCCGCGUGUAUGAAGAAGGCCUUCGGGUUGUAAAGUACUUUCGGUAGCGAGGAAGGGGUUAUAUCUAAUAGGUGUAACCAUUGACGUUAACUACAGAAGAAGCACCGGCUAACUCCGUGCCAGCAGCCGCGGUAAUACGGAGGGUGCGAGCGUUAAUCGGAAUGACUGGGCGUAAAGGGCAUGUAGGCGGAUAGUUAAGUUAGGUGUGAAAGCCCCGGGCUCAACCUGGGAAUUGCAUUUAAAACUGGUUAUCUGGAGUAUUGUAGAGGAAGGUAGAAUUCCAUGUGUAGCGGUGAAAUGCGUAGAGAUGUGGAGGAAUACCGGUGGCGAAAGGCGGCCUUCUGGACAAAUACUGACGCUGAGAUGCGAAAGCGUAGGGAGCAAACAGGAUUAAAUACCCUGGAAUCCACGCUGUAAACGAUGUCAACUUGGCAGUUUGGGUCCUAAAAACCUGGGCUCCAAAGCUAACGCAAUAAAGUUGACCGCCCUGGG
Molecule: ribosomal RNA, 827 nt
Filed under: uncultured bacterium
Lineage: Bacteria
Description: bacterial SSU rRNA
Rfam family: Bacterial small subunit ribosomal RNA
Source: RNAcentral